This 492-nucleotide ribosomal RNA is filed under the name uncultured bacterium. RNAcentral describes it as "partial 16S ribosomal RNA". It matches the Rfam family "Bacterial small subunit ribosomal RNA", at positions 29 to 507 of the family's 1533-position model. The record is from RNAcentral.
AGUGAACGCUGGCGGUAGGCCUAACACAUGCAAGUCGAACGGCAGCACAGUAAGAGCUUGCUCUUACGGGUGGCGAGUGGCGGACGGGUGGGGAAUACAUCGGAAUCUACUUUUUCGUGGGGGAUAACGUAGGGAAACUUACGCUAAUACCGCAUACGACCUACGGGUGAAAGCAGGGGAUCUUCGGACCUUGCGCGAUUGAAUGAGCCGAUGUCGGAUUAGCUAGUUGGCGGGGUAAAGGCCCACCAAGGCGACGAUCCGUAGCUGGUCUGAGAGGAUGAUCAACCACACUGGAACUGAGACACGGUCCAGACUCCUACGGGAGGCAGCAGUGGGGAAUAUUGGACAAUGGGCGCAAGCCUGAUCCAGCCAUACCGCGUGGGUGAAGAAGGCCUUCGGGUUGUAAAGCCCUUUUGUUGGGAAAGAAAAGCAGCAGGUUAAUACCCCGCUGUUCUGACGGUACCCAAAGAAUAAGCACCGGCUAACUUCGUG